Macaca mulatta (Rhesus monkey) is the source of this 3734-nucleotide non-coding RNA. The record is from RefSeq and is a predicted model, not a curated record. NCBI's taxonomy places the organism in Eukaryota, Metazoa, Chordata, Mammalia, Primates, Cercopithecidae.
AAAAAAAAAAAAAAAAAAAAAAAGAAAUGAUCCCUGAAAAUAUAGUCUUACUUACAAAGAGGAAAGCUCUAAUUUUACAAUAGAGAAUGUUUACAAUGGAGGCACCUUGAAUCAAGUUACAGAAGUUUAAUUAGAUUGUCACCAGUGAAGGGACACACUGAGAUGAUGCAUCCCCUGAUGUGUGAGCUGAGAACACGACAUCAGCUCUGUGGAAUGAGGAAACUCACACGAGCCCAGAGGGAUGGACCUUUUACAAAACAUCUGGCUCUUCAAAAAUGUCAAUGUGACACAAGGCAAAGACUAAAGAACUGUUUCUUCAUUAAGGGAGACGAAAAAGAGACACAACAAGGCUCAUGCCUGUAAUCGUUGCACUUGGGGAGGCCAAGGUGGGAGGAUUGCUUGAGCCCAGGAGUUUCAGAUAAGCCUGGGCAAGAUGGCAAGCCCCACAUCCCCAGCCCCAUGGUCUUAAAAAAUAGACAAAUCAGCCGGGUGUGGUGGUGCAUGCCUGUAAUCCCAGCUACUCAGGAGGCUGUGGCAGGAGGAUCACCUGAGACCAGAAGGUCGAGGCUGUAGUGAGCCAUGAUCAUAUCACUGCACUCCGGGCUGGGUGACAGAGCAAGACCCUGUCUCAAAAUAAAUAAAAUAAAAUGAGACACCAACAGCUGAAUGUGGUACAUUACCCUGGAUUUGGAGACAAUUCACGAAAUCUGAAUAAUGGCAUAGUAUCAGAAGGCCUUACCAUGCUGCUGCUGGCCUUCCCCGCGUGCGCCUCCAUCUGCUGCCAGUACUUCUUAGACUCCUGAACGAUGUCUUCAUGAGUCAUGCCUGGGGAGGGUGGGGGCAGACACAGGCAUCUUUCAAGGUGCUCAGCAAGGAGGGAGGCGGGGGGUCCACGAGGUGCCAGGGCCCCCCGAGGCUCAACUGGAGGAGCCCUAUUCCCAGUUAGCCCAGUCACAGUAAGAUGUGGGGUGCAAAGGAAUCACUGUCCAUCUGCAAAAUGGGAACGAAGACCUUCUCAAGCCUCACUGGGAGUGAAAGAAUUAAAUGCAGCCAAGAGUGGGAAAAUGCAGUAGAAGGAUAUUGGCUCUGUACUGUGGUGGGGAGUCCCCUGCUCCCAUGCCAUGCCAGUGACCCUGUCUCCUGGGCCGGUGACUCAGCACCCUUCCCUGACCCCCAUCUCCCUCAGUGUGGCUGCAAGCCUAGUGCCUGCUUGGCAGCCCCUGGCCUCCCUGGCACUUAGGGCUCCAUGCCUGCCCAGCCUGGCUCACCAGCUUGCCAUGGUACCUUGGCUUUUUACUGCCAGUCCCCAAAGGGCAAAUACCCCAGCCUGGUGGCAUGGACCCCCCAGUCUGUCUCCCCACCAGCCUCAGACUGUUGCCACUGAGCCCGACCUUGGAGAUCCAGCUCCCAGCUCUUCCAUGAGCCUGCCCUCUUCCCAACGCUCUCCAUCUUUCUCACGUCUUUCCCACAACGGAUGUGGCCUCCCACCUUGACCUAUGGCCCCUGCUCCACGACAGCCAAUCAUCAUCGGUGUUUACUUGGGGCAAGACGCUGCACUUGACAUCCAGUUUCUUGCUGAUGAUCCGCAAGUUCUCUGAAACUGAGGGCCUCGACUAGACCAUGGCUGAAUGCCCUGACAAGAGAAGGUGCUCAGUGAAUCCCGGAUGGGUGAGUGGGAGAACACCUUCCAGUCCCGGCAGCAGCUCUGCGAGGUAGAGGUGGGCUCCCCGUUUCCCAGAUGAGCACUGGAGGCUCAGUGAGGAGCAGGGACUUGCUGGCGACCCCCCAGGGAGCAAGCAGAGGCAUCGCUGCAGGAGCCCAGGUGACUCCCUCCCCUCUCCGUGCUCCCUGGACGGUGCCUGCGAGGGGAAAAACCCAGAUCUCCGAGCCUGGAAGUGUCCUGAGAGCAGAGCUUCUCUCCUCUGUGGUGCCUGGGACUCAUCAGCUCCUCCAGAGAGCCCACCCCGCAGCCACCUCCCCUGAACCCUCCCGAAGUCCCCUCCAGCAACCAGGGGGCCCUGGCCUGUAACCCCCAGUCAGUCCUGCGCUCCCUUCACGUGCACCGCCUGCCCCUCACCUGAGUCACCCGCCCUCCACCUGCACCGCCUGCCCCUCACCUGAGUCACCCGCCCUCCACCUGCACCGCCUGCCCCUCACCUGAGACACCCGCCCUCCACCUGCACCGCCUGCCCCUCACCUGAGACACCCGCCCUCCACCUGCACCGCCUGCCCCUCACCUGAGUACUGCUGCAGCAGCCAGACCUUGAGCUCAAUGAAGCUGUGGGCGAAGUGGCAGCUGUCCUCCCGCAGGCAGCCGUAGCGCACCUCGUGGCGGCACACGUCGAACUGGAAGUGCUCCUGGAACUGGCGGAUCUUGGAGUACUUGAGGGAGGUGGAGCGGACGAUGUGCACCAGGCACCUAGCGGGCAGGUGGGAGGGGCACGAUGCAGUCCGAAGCCCCUCUGACCUUCUCUCCUGGUAGGGCCACCUUCCCAGUGCCAGGCUCUCCCUGGGCACCCCCUGAUCUAUGUACCAAGUCCAGGCCAUGGAUGACACAGGAGGGCAGAAACGGGGCUCCUAUGCUCGGGCAUCCCUGGGCCUGGGUCCCAGCGCUGCUUUACUUCUGUCCCUCCCCUCAGGAUUCAAAGCGGGAGCUGCCAGCAAGCAGAGGACACCACCCUCAGGUUUCCAACUUGAUUCUACAGGGCUGGUCCUGCACCCUGAGGAACACUAACCAAGCAUGUCCUCCGGGCCAGGAGUCUUAAUUACCCUCACUGCAGCCUCAGGAGCCUAGAGCAUCAUCAACUUUACAGACGAGGAAACCCAGGCUUGGAUGUAAGACAGGACUGGCCCAGGAAUUGGACCCAGGUCUGUUUGACUGCAGGGCCUGGGCUCCAUAUGCACACUGAGGCAGAACCAAGGGGAACAAGAGGAAGAAAGGGGUGGCGCCAGACCUGACCCAGGCCUCCCCUCACUGCCUGAUGCUGAUGUCCUGACAUUGGAGGGUGCUGGGCUAGAGUCAGAGACGGGGCCCCCUGCUCGCUGUCAGCUGAGUAAGCUACUUCCAAGCCUCAGCUUUUUCUUCUGUUCAAAAGGGCCAGUAAUUCCUCCUCAUAGGACUGCUAAGAUAAUUAAUAUACCCAAGACAAUGCUUGGAAUAUAGUAGAUGUUCGAUAAAUGUGAUUCGCAUCCUUUCCAGGUGGAGGCUGGAUUUGAUUCCCAAAUUCUGUCCCUUUCCUUGCACCCUAGGUCCACUCUUUCAGUUCAGUCUUUCCUCAGCCAUCUGAGCUGACUCUCCAGUAGCCCCCAGGCCCCAGCCUGGGCUGAGCGUCCCACUCACUUGUUGUUGUAGAAGCUGUGCUUGGCAGCCAGGUUGGAGCAGACAGACGGAGAGUCCUUGGUGCCUUUGCUGAUGAUCCGGGGUUUACUGUCAAAGCAGAUCUGCCCAGGGAGGGGAAGGGCUGGGACCUGGCAUGGCCACCUGAGAAGGGGGUGAGCUGGGAUCCCGCAUAGCUACCUGGGGAAGGACAGCUGGGUCCCUGCAAGCCCUGCCCUGGGUCAGAGGAGCGAGGAAGGGAAUCCCUGGGGCUGUGGCCUUGUCUCUCUGGUUCCAGCUCACAGGUGACCUGGGCCUUGGCUCCCUUCCUCUCCCUCCUCCCUCUCUCUGAUCCCACCACUCCCAAUGCCUGGGGCAGGGGGUUACUUCACAUCAAAAAUAUAUAUAUAAAAAGGAA